RNAcentral lists this ribosomal RNA (845 nucleotides) under uncultured Bacteroidota bacterium. Its description in RNAcentral is "bacterial SSU rRNA". It matches the Rfam family "Bacterial small subunit ribosomal RNA", at positions 70 to 917 of the family's 1533-position model. The record is from RNAcentral. Lineage: Bacteria; Pseudomonadati; Bacteroidota.
AAGCUUGCUUUUGAUGGGCGUCGACCGGCGCACGGGUGAGUAACGCGUAUCCAACCUGCCCACCACUUGGGGAUAACCUUGCGAAAGUAAGACUAAUACCCAAUGAUAUCUCUAGAAGACAUCUGAAAGAGAUUAAAGAUUUAUCGGUGAUGGAUGGGGAUGCGUCUGAUUAGCUUGUUGGCGGGGUAACGGCCCACCAAGGCUACGAUCAGUAGGGGUUCUGAGAGGAAGGUCCCCCACAUUGGAACUGAGACACGGUCCAAACUCCUACGGGAGGCAGCAGUGAGGAAUAUUGGUCAAUGGACGAGAGUCUGAACCAGCCAAGUAGCGUGCAGGAUGACGGCCCUAUGGGUUGUAAACUGCUUUUAUAAGGGAAUAAAGUUAGUCUCGUGAGACUUUUUGCAUGUACCUUAUGAAUAAGGACCGGCUAAUUCCGUGCCAGCAGCCGCGGUAAUACGGAAGGUCCGGGCGUUAUCCGGAUUUAUUGGGUUUAAAGGGAGCGUAGGCCGGAGAUUAAGCGUGUUGUGAAAUGUAGAUGCUCAACAUCUGCACUGCAGCGCGAACUGGUUUCCUUGAGUACGCACAAAGUGGGCGGAAUUCGUGGUGUAGCGGUGAAAUGCUUAGAUAUCACGAAGAACUCCGAUUGCGAAGGCAGCUCACUGGAGCGCAACUGACGCUGAAGCUCGAAAGUGCGGGUAUCGAACAGGAUUAGAUACCCUGGUAGUCCGCACGGUAAACGAUGGAUGCCCGCUGUUGGUCUGAAUAGGUCAGCGGCCAAGCGAAAGCAUUAAGCACCCCACCUGGGGAGUACGCCGGCAACGGUGCAACUCAAAGGAAUUGACGGA